Molecule: ribosomal RNA, 246 nt
Filed under: uncultured bacterium
Lineage: Bacteria
Description: partial 16S ribosomal RNA
Rfam family: Bacterial small subunit ribosomal RNA
Source: RNAcentral
GAUCCUGGCUCAGGAUGAACGCUAGCGGCAGGCUUAACACAUGCAAGUCGAGGGGCAGCAUAAUGGAUAGCAAUAUCUAUGGUGGCGACCGGCGCACGGGUGCGUAACGCGUAUGCAACCUACCUUUAACAGGGGGAUAACACUGAGAAAUUGGUACUAAUUCCCCAUAACAUUCGAGAAGGCAUCUUCUUGGGUUAAAAACUCCGGUGGUUAAAGAUGGGCAUGCGUUGUAUUAGCUAGUUGGUG